RNAcentral lists this ribosomal RNA (549 nucleotides) under uncultured Glomeromycotina. RNAcentral describes it as "SSU rRNA". It matches the Rfam family "Eukaryotic small subunit ribosomal RNA", at positions 548 to 1098 of the family's 1831-position model. The record is from RNAcentral. Lineage: Eukaryota; Fungi; Glomeromycota.
UUGGAGGGCAAGUCUGGUGCCAGCAGCCGCGGUAAUUCCAGCUCCAAUAGCGUAUAUUAAAGUUGUUGCAGUUAAAAAGCUCGUAGUUGAAUUUCGGGAUCAAUUUAUCGGUCGUGCCUACGGUAUGAACUGGUACAAUUGGUUUCUCCCUUCUGACGAAGCGUGAUGUCAUUAAUUUGGUGUCGUGGGGAAUCAGGACUGUUACUUUGAAAAAAUUAGAGUGUUUAAAGCAAGCAUUAGCUUGAAUACAUUAGCAUGGAAUAAUGAAAUAGGACGUUUGAUCCUAUUUCGUUGGUUUCUAGGAUCGACGUAAUGAUUAAUAGGGAUAGUUGGGGGCAUUAGUAUUCAAUUGUCAGAGGUGAAAUUCUUGGAUUUAUUGAAGACUAACUACUGCGAAAGCAUUUGCCAAGGAUGUUUUCAUUAAUCAAGAACGAAAGUUAGGGGAUCGAAGACGAUCAGAUACCGUCGUAGUCUUAACCAUAAACUAUGCCGACUAGGGAUCGGAUGAUGUUAAUUUUUUAAUGACUCAUUCGGCGCCUUACGGGAAAC